CAGUGGGGAAUCUUAGACAAUGGGGGAAACCCUGAUCUAGCCAUGCCGCGUGAUCGAUGAAGGCCUUAGGGUUGUAAAGAUCUUUCAGGUGGGAAGAUAAUGACUGUACCACCAGAAGAAGCCCCGGCUAACUCCGUGCCAGCAGCCGCGGUAAUACGGAGGGGGCUAGCGUUGUUCGGAAUUACUGGGCGUAAAGCGCACGUAGGCGGAACAGAAAGUCAGAGGUGAAAUCCCAGGGCUCAACCUUGGAACUGCCUUUGAAACUCCUGUUCUUGAGGUCGAGAGAGGUGAGUGGAAUUCCGAGUGUAGAGGUGAAAUUCGUAGAUAUUCGGAGGAACACCAGUGGCGAAGGCGGCUCACUGGCUCGAUACUGACGCUGAGGUGCGAAAGCGUGGGGAGCAAACAGGAUUAGA
Molecule: ribosomal RNA, 413 nt
Filed under: uncultured bacterium
Lineage: Bacteria
Description: bacterial SSU rRNA
Rfam family: Bacterial small subunit ribosomal RNA
Source: RNAcentral